ACGAAGCGCUUGAACAGAUUUCUUCGGAUUGAAGUUUUUGCGACUGAGUGGCGGACGGGUGAGUAACGCGUGGGUAACCUGCCUCAUACAGGGGGAUAACAGUUAGAAAUGACUGCUAAUACCGCAUAAGCGCACGGUGCUGCAUGGCACAGUGUGAAAAACUCCGGUGGUAUGAGAUGGACCCGCGUCUGAUUAGCUAGUUGGUGGGGUAACGGCCUACCAAGGCGACGAUCAGUAGCCGGCCUGAGAGGGUGAACGGCCACAUUGGGACUGGGACACGGCCCAAACUCCUACGGGAGGCAGCAGUGGGGAAUAUUGCACAAUGGGGGAAACCCUGAUGCAGCGACGCCGCGUGAGCGAAGAAGUAUUUCGGUAUGUAAGGCUCUAUCAGCAGGGAAGAAAUAGGACGGUACCUGACUAAGAAGCACCGGCUAAAUACGUGCCAGCAGCCGCGGUAAUACGUAUGGUGCAAGCGUUAUCCGGAUUUACUGGGUGUAAAGGGAGCGUAGACGGUUGUGUAAGUCUGAUGUGAAAGCCCGGGGCUCAACCCCGGGACUGCAUUGGAAACUAUGUAACUAGAGUGUCGGAGAGGUAAGCGGAAUUCCUAGUGUAGCGGUGAAAUGCGUAGAUAUUAGGAGGAACACCAGUGGCGAAGGCGGCUUACUGGACGAUCACUGACGUUGAGGCUCGAAAGCGUGGGGAGCA
Molecule: ribosomal RNA, 705 nt
Filed under: uncultured Lachnospiraceae bacterium
Lineage: Bacteria; Bacillati; Bacillota; Clostridia; Lachnospirales; Lachnospiraceae
Description: bacterial SSU rRNA
Rfam family: Bacterial small subunit ribosomal RNA
Source: RNAcentral